UAUGGUGCGAGCGUUAUCCGGAUUCACUGGGUGUAAAGGGAGCGCAGGCGGCCUGCCAAGUCCGAUGUGAAAACCCGGGGCUCAACCCCGGGACUGCAUUGGAAACUGGCGGGCUGGAGUUCCGGAGAGGCAGGCGGAAUUCCUGGUGUAGCGGUGAAAUGCGUAGAUAUCAGGAGGAACACCGGUGGCGAAGGCGGCCUGCUGGACGGACACUGACGCUGAGGCUCGAAAGCGUGGGGAGCGAA
Molecule: ribosomal RNA, 245 nt
Filed under: uncultured bacterium
Lineage: Bacteria
Description: partial 16S ribosomal RNA
Rfam family: Bacterial small subunit ribosomal RNA
Source: RNAcentral